CUACGGGUCGCUCCAGUGGGGAAUAUUGCACAAUGGGCGAAAGCCUGAUGCAGCAACGCCGCGUGGAGGAUGACACAUUUCGGUGCGUAAACCCCUUUUAUAUAGGAAGAUAAUGACGGUACUAUAUGAAUAAGCGCCGGCUAACUCCGUGCCAGCAGCCGCGGUAAUACGGAGGGCGCAAGCGUUACUCGGAAUCACUGGGCGUAAAGGGCGUGUAGGCGGAUAGAUAAGUUGGGAGUGAAAUCCUAUGGCUCAACCAUAGAACUGCUUCCAAAACUGUCUAUCUAGAGUAUGGGAGAGGUAGAUGGAAUUUCUGGUGUAGGGGUAAAAUCCGUAGAGAUCAGAAGGAAUACCGAUUGCGAAGGCGAUCUACUGGAACAUUACUGACGCUGAGACGCGAAAGCGUGGGGAGCAAACAGGAUUAGAUACCCUUGUAGUC
Molecule: ribosomal RNA, 439 nt
Filed under: uncultured bacterium
Lineage: Bacteria
Description: partial 16S ribosomal RNA
Rfam family: Bacterial small subunit ribosomal RNA
Source: RNAcentral